This 1397-nucleotide ribosomal RNA is filed under the name Pseudomonas graminis. RNAcentral's name for it is "bacterial LSU rRNA". It matches the Rfam family "Bacterial large subunit ribosomal RNA", at positions 1551 to 2925 of the family's 2925-position model. Lineage: Bacteria; Pseudomonadati; Pseudomonadota; Gammaproteobacteria; Pseudomonadales; Pseudomonadaceae. The record is from RNAcentral.
UAAGGCCGAGAGCUGAUGACGAGUGUUCUUUAGAACACGAAGUGGUUGAUGCCAUGCUUCCAAGAAAAGCUUCUAAGCUUCAGGUAACCAGGAACCGUACCCCAAACCGACACAGGUGGUUGGGUAGAGAAUACCAAGGCGCUUGAGAGAACUCGGGUGAAGGAACUAGGCAAAAUGGCACCGUAACUUCGGGAGAAGGUGCGCCGGUGAGGGUGAAGGACUUGCUCCGUAAGCUCAUGCCGGUCGAAGAUACCAGGCCGCUGCGACUGUUUAUUAAAAACACAGCACUCUGCAAACACGAAAGUGGACGUAUAGGGUGUGACGCCUGCCCGGUGCCGGAAGGUUAAUUGAUGGGGUUAGCUAACGCGAAGCUCUUGAUCGAAGCCCCGGUAAACGGCGGCCGUAACUAUAACGGUCCUAAGGUAGCGAAAUUCCUUGUCGGGUAAGUUCCGACCUGCACGAAUGGCGUAACGAUGGCGGCGCUGUCUCCACCCGAGACUCAGUGAAAUUGAAAUCGCUGUGAAGAUGCAGUGUAUCCGCGGCUAGACGGAAAGACCCCGUGAACCUUUACUAUAGCUUUGCACUGGACUUUGAAUUUGCUUGUGUAGGAUAGGUGGGAGGCUUUGAAGCGUGGACGCCAGUCUGCGUGGAGCCAACCUUGAAAUACCACCCUGGCAACUUUGAGGUUCUAACUCAGGUCCGUUAUCCGGAUCGAGGACAGUGUAUGGUGGGUAGUUUGACUGGGGCGGUCUCCUCCUAAAGAGUAACGGAGGAGUACGAAGGUGCGCUCAGACCGGUCGGAAAUCGGUCGUAGAGUAUAAAGGCAAAAGCGCGCUUGACUGCGAGACAGACACGUCGAGCAGGUACGAAAGUAGGUCUUAGUGAUCCGGUGGUUCUGUAUGGAAGGGCCAUCGCUCAACGGAUAAAAGGUACUCCGGGGAUAACAGGCUGAUACCGCCCAAGAGUUCAUAUCGACGGCGGUGUUUGGCACCUCGAUGUCGGCUCAUCACAUCCUGGGGCUGAAGCCGGUCCCAAGGGUAUGGCUGUUCGCCAUUUAAAGUGGUACGCGAGCUGGGUUUAGAACGUCGUGAGACAGUUCGGUCCCUAUCUGCCGUGGACGUUUGAGAUUUGAGAGGGGCUGCUCCUAGUACGAGAGGACCGGAGUGGACGAACCUCUGGUGUUCCGGUUGUCACGCCAGUGGCAUUGCCGGGUAGCUAUGUUCGGAAAAGAUAACCGCUGAAAGCAUCUAAGCGGGAAACUUGCCUCAAGAUGAGAUCUCACUGGAACCUUGAGUUCCCUGAAGGGCCGUCGAAGACUACGACGUUGAUAGGUUGGGUGUGUAAGCGCUGUGAGGCGUUGAGCUAACCAAUACUAAUUGCCCGUGAGGCUUGACCAU